Amblyraja radiata (thorny skate) is the source of this 179-nucleotide long non-coding RNA. RefSeq lists it as uncharacterized. NCBI's taxonomy places the organism in Eukaryota, Metazoa, Chordata, Chondrichthyes, Rajiformes, Rajidae. The record is from RefSeq and is a predicted model, not a curated record. The transcript is spliced from 3 exons.
GUUAUCCACUUUGGUGGCAAGAAUAGGAAGGCAGAUUAUUAUCUGAAUUAUGUCAAGUUAGGAAAAGGGGAAGUACACCGAGAUCUGAGUGUCCUUAUUCAGCAGUCACUGAAAGUAAGCAUGCAGGUACAGCAGGCAUCACUAAUGGCAUGUUGGCCUUCAUAUCAAGAGGAGUUGAG